UACAUGCAGUCGAGCGCUAGGGGUGCUCCCUUAGGGGAGACCUCCUGGGGCGGCGGAGGGUGAGUAACACGUAGGCAACCUGCCUGUAAGACCGGGUUAACUACCGGAAACGGUAGCUAAGACCGGAUAGGUGGUUUCUCCGCAUGGGGGGCUCAAGAAACACGGUGCAGGCUGUGGCUUACAGAUGGGCCUGCGGCGAAUUAGCUAGUUGGUGGGGUAACGGCUCACCAAGGCGACGAUGCGUAGCCGACCUGAGAGGGUGAUCGGCCACACUGGGACUGAAACACGGCCCAGACUCCUACGGGGGGCAGCAGUGGGGAAUCUUCC
RNAcentral lists this ribosomal RNA (327 nucleotides) under Paenibacillus naphthalenovorans. RNAcentral describes it as "bacterial SSU rRNA". It matches the Rfam family "Bacterial small subunit ribosomal RNA", at positions 52 to 367 of the family's 1533-position model. Lineage: Bacteria; Bacillati; Bacillota; Bacilli; Caryophanales; Paenibacillaceae. The record is from RNAcentral.